UUGGUACGGUGUGUUUUGGAUGCGUUUUAAGUCAAUUUAGGUGAGUUUUGGAGUAUUUUAAGUGUGUUUGAGGAUAUUUUGGUGCUUUUUCGAUGUGUUUAGGUUGUUUUUUUGUGCGUUUAGGAAUGUUCUGGGUAUGUUUAAGGUGUUUUAAGGUGUUUUAGUGUGAUUGGACUUGCUUUUGAGUUGUUUUGGUUAUGUUAUAGGCAUGUUGCAGGUAAGAAUGGGGUCUUUGAGGGUAGAAGUGGUGUGCUUGAGGUAAAAUAAAAGAUUCUGGAGUGUUUUUGAGAGAGGCUGUGAUAGUAGAAGCGUGUCAGGGGUGUUAUAGCGUAUGUUGUGAUAUAUGAAACUACUAGAUGCAAGUGUGUGACCACCACCACCACCACCACCACCAGCACAGUGGAAAAAAGGGACUUUACACUAAGGCUGGUUACUGUGUACACGAAUGUGGUGGUACAAAUACUGAAUUCAGCUCACCAAUCUAGCUCUGAGAGCAACGGCAACCCUCCGAUCCGGCAGGCAAGUUGGCGGCAGCGAUGGCGGUGGCGGCGGCAGCGGUGGUGAGGUGGACGGCAGGGACAGAGGGGCAGUACAGGCUGCGGACAUCAAGGAGAAGAGGAACGCACGGACAAGCAAGGUGGCACUCGGCAGUCUGAUCCUGGACCUGCGCAGCUUGACGGUGGUGGUGCCUCUGUCUCCUGCUCUCCUUGACUAUUACCCCAAGCAUGACUCCAGCGGCUUGUAUUCCUCUGUGUGGUAAUAAGUCUGUGUGGCUUAUUACCAGCAUAUCAUCCACGUCCCUGCAAGGUUCCAUUCUGUCUUGUCUGGUGGGCCUAAUGAUGAUGAUUCCUGCUUUCAUCCUCAUCGGGGCUAACGAGACCAACCUGGGGCUGUACUCUGGACUGACGCUGUAUGCCAUAGAGACCGGCGUGCCCUUGUGUCUUCCCUGCGGCUGUUGUCCCUGGUCCACGGUCUGAACUUCCAAGCCGGCUGCCGAGUGGGGCGGUUGAACUGCGACGACUUUUACAUCCCAGAAAUUGCAGAGAAAAUUGAUAUUAGGAAUGAUUACUUGAACUGGAUGAACAGCAGGCUUCACCCGAUGUCCAGGAGGGAGAGUCCAAUCCUGUUCUGUGAGUAUCCAUUCUUGUUCGACCCUCAGGCCAAGACGCUGCUGCUCAGGUGUGACGCCACUCGGCAGGCACUCAAGUUGAUGAUCCAAAGCACAGCAGACGACAGCUUCCUUCCGGUCGCACACACCUGCAUCACCCAACUCAACCUGCCAAAAUACA
Long non-coding RNA from Scylla paramamosain (green mud crab), 1289 nucleotides. RefSeq lists it as uncharacterized. Lineage: Eukaryota; Metazoa; Arthropoda; Malacostraca; Decapoda; Portunidae. The record is from RefSeq and is a predicted model, not a curated record. The transcript is spliced from 8 exons.